Molecule: long non-coding RNA, 1529 nt
Organism: Hemicordylus capensis (graceful crag lizard)
Lineage: Eukaryota; Metazoa; Chordata; Lepidosauria; Squamata; Cordylidae
Exons: 2
Source: RefSeq, a predicted model, not a curated record
GAAAGGGGGGGUGCAUAAGUGGCAGUGGGGAGGAGAGGCAGCUGGGCCCGGAAGCAGAGACUGGGGCAGAAGCUGGGGGAAAGAGGCUGCCAGUGAUGUCUUAUGGUUCUCAGUCUCAGAGGACAUCUACAAGACCUCCCCGCCAGCCCUCAGUUGUUCCGACUGCCACUCUGCUCUGAAUCUCUUCAGCCACAAUUCAUAAAUUAUCUCAUCUGGACAUGGCUGAUAAAGUCUUUCACAGACUGGGCUUGCAGUGUCUCAUAGCUCCUCAUGGCAGGUUCAAGAAUCACUAGGUGUUUCUAAGCCUCUCUUGUAUCGGAUUCACAGGUAAACCCACAUGUCAAGCUUUCCCAUGCAAAAAGAGUUUUUCCAUUUGUGACAGUGGCAAAUGUAAUACUGGUAGUUCUACCGCUAAUAAUCUAGAGUGUUGCCACUGCUUUUGGGUCUGCAGCAGCAGUGCUGCAAGUUCUAAUGGAGAUGUUAAAACUGUGAUCAUGUUAGCCAUUCAUACUAUGCAAUGUCUUUUAGUGGGUGAAUGGUGGGAUGUGAAUGGCUUUGCGUAGGCUAUGCCUAGUAGUUGAGAGGUAGUAUGAUACUUUUCCUGACACCCCUCUUCAGUCAACUGAAGAAAGAUUUUGGGGCUAAACUUUGCCUAGUCAUCAAAAUGGACUGUAGAUUCUGCAAGAUAAAAAGAGCAAUUGAAUCAUAGGUUCAUAACAUUGCUUAAUAGUAUUCUGAUUAGCAGGCUUCCCCAAGUGUCAAAUUUUGGAAAAAUCAAGCUAUCUUUUUGAGUGUCUCAUUUCUCACCAUUCUCAAGUCUGUAUCUCAGCCAGUGUUCCCAGAUGUUGACUACUGCUCCCAGCAUCUCCAGCUGCAGUGGCCUUUGGCUGGGGAUUAUGGGAGUUGUAGUUAACAGCAUCUGGGAAUCCCUGUUUCAGAGAGCACUGAUCUCAACUACAGGAUUUUAAAAACUGUAUUUGUUUGAACAUAGUGUAACUGUAGUAUUUUAAAUACUUUUCAGUAUUAAGUGAGCUCUGAGUUAAUUUCACAGCUCUGUGAGCAUUUGAAACAGGAUCUAUCUUUCAAGUUUGAUUUUUUUCUAUACUAACCAGCUCUAUACUUUGAAAAUGUCAUAAAAAAUUAGACAUGUGUCUACCAUUUUGGCAUUGAAGAGAAUAUUCCUGAAAAUGUUACUGGCUGACAUUGAGGAAAAUCACUCAAAAUAGUCCCAUUGAAAUUGGGUUAGUAAUGCCAAAUUUUCUUGGGACUAUUUUGAAUAAUUGUUCUGCAAUACUGUAUGUUAGCUGGUGGAUUUAAGGAAAGUAAUAAUUACUGUGUUAUGCUGUUCUAGGAAUUUUCAGUUUUCUUCUUUUAGGCAAUGGCCCCUUCUAGUAUUGUGAAAUGAAUCACAUUACGGUAUUAGAACACUGGCUUGUUAGGGAGCAGGAGACCAUGAAGUUCAGAAUCAUGGCUUAAAACUGUGAAGAUGUAGCAAACCACUCCUGGAAUAAACCAACCAGCAGCUGUCA